RNAcentral lists this non-coding RNA (27 nucleotides) under Mus musculus (house mouse). The record is from RNAcentral. Lineage: Eukaryota; Metazoa; Chordata; Mammalia; Rodentia; Muridae.
UUGCUUGCAGCAAUUAAGAUCUGGCCA